AGUGAGCGCUGGCGGUAGGCCUAACACAUGCAAGUCGAACGGCAGCACAGUAAGAGCUUGCUCUUACGGGUGGCGAGUGGCGGACGGGUGAGGAAUACAUCGGAAUCUACUUUUUCGUGGGGGAUAACGUAGGGAAACUUACGCUAAUACCGCAUACGACCUACGGGUGAAAGCAGGGGAUCUUCGGACCUUGCGCGAUUGAAUGAGCCGAUGUCGGAUUAGCUAGUUGGCGGGGUAAAGGCCCACCAAGGCGACGAUCCGUAGCUGGUCUGAGAGGUUGAUCAGCCACACUGGAACUGAGACACGGUCCAGACUCCUACGGGAGGCAGCAGUGGGGAAUAUUGGACAAUGGGCGCAAGCCUGAUCCAGCCAUACCGCGUGGGUGAAGAAGGCCUUCGGGUUGUAAAGCCCUUUUGUUGGGAAAGAAAAGCAGCAGGUUAAUACCCCGCUGUUCUGACGGUACCCAAAGAAUAAGCACCGGCUAACUUCGUG
Molecule: ribosomal RNA, 492 nt
Filed under: uncultured bacterium
Lineage: Bacteria
Description: partial 16S ribosomal RNA
Rfam family: Bacterial small subunit ribosomal RNA
Source: RNAcentral